CACGUAGGGUGCGAGCGUUGUCCGGAAUUAUUGGGCGUAAAGAGCUCGUAGGCGGUUUGUCGCGUCUGUCGUGAAAGCUUGGGGCUUAACCCCAAGUCUGCGGUGGAUACGGGCAGACUAGAGGCAGGUAGGGGAGAACGGAAUUCCCGGUGUAGCGGUGAAAUGCGCAGAUAUCUGAAGGAACAUCAGUGGCGAAAGCGACUUCCUGGACCAAUACUGACGCUCAUGUGCGAAAGCGUGGGGAGCAAACAGG
RNAcentral lists this ribosomal RNA (253 nucleotides) under uncultured bacterium. RNAcentral describes it as "partial 16S ribosomal RNA". It matches the Rfam family "Bacterial small subunit ribosomal RNA", at positions 524 to 776 of the family's 1533-position model. The record is from RNAcentral.